UUUAUACUGUCGUGUAGGGGAUGGACGAAUCACCAAUAUAUGAACAAUCAAGCGUUGGGAGAAUGUCAAUCAAACAUAAUUGAGACACUAAUUUUUCUCCCAAGGUUCACGUGCUUGCCGGCACACUACAUCCCCAUUGUGUCGACCAACACUUGGUGGUUCGGGGACUAAGAGCUGUAGCACGAACCUCGUCCUCACAAGGACACCGCAAGAGCCUACCCACAAGUGAGGUAGCUCAAUUAUUGAGCAAUCCAAUGGAGUAACCUUUUGGCUCUCCAUCGGAGAAGGUACAAAACCCCUCACAAUCAUCAACUCGUGCCAAUCCUACUCCACUGCUUCAAGUUGUCUAGGUGGCAGCAACAACCAAGAGUAACAAGAAAACCACAGCCAAAUCAAUCCCCAAGUGCCACUAGAUGCAAUCACUUAAGCAAAUGCACUCAGAAACACUCCCAAUCUCACAAAGAUGGUUAAUCUAUAAAGGAGAUGAGUGGAAGGUGUUUGCUUAGGCUCACAAGGAUGUCAAGUAUGCUAGAAUGCCAAGAGAGUGAGCCCCGAGCCGGUCAACAACUAUUUAUAAGCCCCUCAACCAAAUAGAGCCAUUGGCUCUUUCACUGGGCAA
Molecule: long non-coding RNA, 619 nt
Filed under: Sorghum bicolor (sorghum)
Lineage: Eukaryota; Viridiplantae; Streptophyta; Magnoliopsida; Poales; Poaceae
Description: long non-coding RNA (SBIC_LNC017469)
Source: RNAcentral